RNA transcript from Sander lucioperca (pikeperch), 2927 nucleotides. It is a transcript of the gene named O-GlcNAcase like, with no coding region annotated. The transcript is spliced from 18 exons. The record is from RefSeq and is a predicted model, not a curated record. NCBI's taxonomy places the organism in Eukaryota, Metazoa, Chordata, Actinopteri, Perciformes, Percidae.
CUAUGGUCGUAAACCGUCUCUGGUUCAGUCAACGCGCGCCUGAACUUCAGUCCUCACAAAAACGAUCUGUUUUUUAUUCGCUUACAGUAUUUACAACUUCAGACUUUAGACCACGUUAUUAUCAUGCUGCGCAAUGCUGCCGGUGCUUAAAACCACCGACUGAUCUGCGCAGGCGUGAGAGGACUACAAUAAAAGUCAAAUCAAAUGAACGUCAAAGGCAGGUAUACAAAGCUAUGACUGACAGAAUCGCUGUGUCAGUGCUGGAGCUUCUGUCUGCGCAGCAGUAAAUUGGAAGCACAGACUGAGAAAGAGAGGACAACUCAACGCUAAACUAGAACAGUAAACCAUGUCGAAACCAGGCAGUGCCAAGGGCCAACCCCACACUGGGAAGAAGCGGUUCAUCAGUGGAGUAGUGGAAGGUUUUUAUGGGCGACCAUGGACUAUGGGGCAGAGAACAGAGCUGUUUAAAAGAGAACAGAAGUGGGGUUUGAACACGUACCUGUACGCCCCUAAGGAUGACUACAAACACAGGAUGUACUGGAGGGACCUGUACUCGGCUGAGGAGGCAGAGCAACUCAUCGCUCUAAUAUCAGCAGCUAAACAGCACGACGUCGAGUUCAUCUAUGCAAUCUCUCCCGGCCUGGACAUCACGUUCUCUAACCCCAAAGAGGUUGCCGCCCUGCAGAGGAAACUGGAUCAGGUGAGGCAGUUUGGCUGCAGGUCCUUCUCUUUACUGUUUGAUGACAUCGAGACUGAGAUGUGUCCAGCUGAUAAGCAGGCCUUCAGCUCCUUCGCUCACGCUCAGGUGGCCAUCACUAAUGCGGUGUACCAGCACCUGGGAGACCCUGAGACCUUCCUCUUCUGUCCUACAGAUUAUUGUGCUGCAUUCUGUACUCCCAACGUGUCCCAGUCCGCUUACCUGCACACUGUGGGAGAGAAGCUGCUGCCUGGGAUAGACAUACUGUGGACUGGUCCCAAAGUGGUAUCCCACAAAAUCUCUGUUGAGUCCAUAGAAGAGGUGUCCUCCGUCCUGAGGAGGGCACCAGUCAUCUGGGACAAUAUCCACGCAAACGACUAUGACCCCCAAAGGCUUUUCCUAGGACCCUUUAAGGAUCGUCCCACUGAGCUGAUUCCCAAACUGGGAGGAGUGCUCACCAAUCCCAACUGUGAGUUCUACCCAAACUUUGUGGCCAUCCACACUUUGGCUACAUGGUGCAAAGCAACCGCAGAUGGAGGACAGAGGGAUGUGGAAAUGAGCGAUGAGGAGCAGGACCCCUGCUACAGCCCCAAGAAAGCCCUGACCCUGGCCCUCACUGACUGGCUGCAGGAGUUUCUGAACACCGAUCAACCUGGAGCUCGUCUCAAGAAGGAGUCAUCAGGUGAGGAGCCCAUGCAGACAGAUGGGGGAGAGACCCCCCAUGUUCCUGGACCUGGGGAGAACCCGCUGUACACAGCCGAGCCCCUGACCCUGGAUGACUUGAAGCUGCUGUCGGACCUCUUCUACCUGCCGUACGAAUACGGGCCGACAGCCAGGACCAUGCUGCAGGAGCUGGACUGGCUUAGGAAACACAGUUGGGCCGCCGCUGCAGAGACAGACAAGACUGCGGAGUGGUGCUCAAGAGCGCAGCAGUUUGAUGGCAUGUGCGAAGCGGUGGUGCAGAUGUUUAAUCGACUGUCAAACGCCCCGAACCGCUGCAUUCUGUACGACCUCUACAACUACAUCUGUGACAUCAAGAGUGGGGUCGGUCUGGCUCGAGCCUACGUGAAAACACUAGGAGGGCAGGGUCGACCCUCAGCCCAGCUGAUGAACACUGAUCCUGAACCCUGGGGCUUUAGAGGAGGCCUCUCUGGAGAGUUCCAGAGAAUGCUGCCUUGCCACGGAAACAGGGACCUGUUCAGAGAGCCUCCCAUGUCGGCUGUUUACUGCAUACGGCCGUACUGCCCUGAGGACAAGACGGAGGUGCAAAGGAUUUUCAGAGAGAUGCAGAGCGCAGGAGAGGGAAAAGUUCCCUCGACGAUGCAGCCUCCACUCAUCUGUGACGGCCUGUCAGCUGGUGAGAUCUCCCCUUCCCCUCAGUGUGCUCUCGUUCUGGAGGAUGAGAUCGGGGUGUGUGGUUACGCCCUGGCCCUCACCGACGCCAAACCAGCCGCAGACAAAAUUCAGAGGGCAGUAAGUAAGGACUUCCCCUCCCUGGUUACCAUGCAAGUGCUGCCCCGGGUCACUGAUCCCUCUCCAGCCAAGCGCAUGAUUGGUCGGCUGUUGUCCAACGUCAGGAGCAGUGGUUCCAGAGGAGUGUUCUGUGAAUUGAGGCAGAGCAAUCGGAGGAUGAUUGACUUUUACACUAAACUGGGCUCCUUCGUACCCAUACAAAUGGCCGGUCUACCUCAAGACAUACUUGCCAUGGGGACAAGCCUGUGAACAAGAUCAUCAAUCACAAGGAUUGUGCUCAGGUUUGAAAUGUUUUUGAGAUAAAACUGAAUAAUUGCUAACUUUGCAGCAUGUCAAACUGAAAUUAGUUGUCAUUUUAGUAACCAUAAUGUUCUCCUGCAAAGUUGUAAAAUUAGUCAAGGAAAUGCUUAAUGAAAUGUGUGCAACAAAGUACUGUAUAAUGAUGGAAAAUGUAAUGCUACUGAGUUUGUAGACAUGAACAUUUUAAAUGCAUAGUGAUUAUUUAGAUGAAUGUGUUUUAACCAAGCAACAAUGUUGCUAUGUUCAUACCACCUUAAGUUUCUGGUUAGUUACAUCUGGCAGACACAUUAAAAACAAAAUGUAUACAUAACAAGACAUUAAAACAAGAAUAUAUUUUCAUUAUUUGUAUUUUGAGAGUAUACAAAAUGAAUAUAUGUAUAGAAAUAAAAUAGCUGGUGUGUCACUUGUUCUCUGGAUUGAGAAACUAAUGAUAUUCAGUUUAAUAACAUUUGAGGUG